ACGGUAACAGGAAGAAGCUUGCUUCUUUGCUGACGAGUGGCGGACGGGUGAGUAAUGUCUGGGAAACUGCCUGAUGGAGGGGGAUAACUACUGGAAACGGUAGCUAAUACCGCAUAACGUCGCAAGACCAAAGAGGGGGACCUUCGGGUCCUCUUGCCAUACGGAUGUGCCCAGAUGGGAUUAGCUAGUAGGUGGGGUAACGGCUCACCUAGGCGACGAUCCCUAGCUGGUCUGAGAGGAUGACCAGCCACACUGGAACUGAGACACGGUCCAGACUCCUACGGGAGGCAGCAGUGGGGAAUAUUGCACAAUGGGCGCAAGCCUGAUGCAGCCAUGCCGCGUGUAUGAAGAAGGCCUUCGGGUUGUAAAGUACUUUCAGCGGGGAGGAAGGGAGUAAAGUUAAUACCUUUGCUCAUUGACGUUACCCGCAGAAGAAGCACCGGCUAACUCCGUGCCAGCAGCCGCGGUAAUACGGAGGGUGCAAGCGUUAAUCGGAAUUACUGGGCGUAAAGCGCACGCAGGCGGUUUGUUAAGUCAGAUGUGAAAUCCCCGGGCUCAACCUGGGAACUGCAUCUGAUACUGGCAAGCUUGAGUCUCGUAGAGGGGGGUA
RNAcentral lists this ribosomal RNA (610 nucleotides) under uncultured Pseudomonadota bacterium. Its description in RNAcentral is "bacterial SSU rRNA". It matches the Rfam family "Bacterial small subunit ribosomal RNA", at positions 66 to 663 of the family's 1533-position model. Lineage: Bacteria; Pseudomonadati; Pseudomonadota. The record is from RNAcentral.